RNAcentral lists this ribosomal RNA (255 nucleotides) under uncultured bacterium. RNAcentral describes it as "partial 16S ribosomal RNA". It matches the Rfam family "Bacterial small subunit ribosomal RNA", at positions 524 to 776 of the family's 1533-position model. The record is from RNAcentral.
UACGAAGGGGGGCUAGCGUUGCUCGGAUUGACUGGGCGUAAAGGGCGCGUAGGCGGUUUGCACAGUCAGACGUGAAAUUCCUGGGCUUAACCUGGGGGGCUGCGUUUGAUACGUGCAGGCUUGAGUUCGGAAGAGGGUCGUGGAAUUCCCAGUGUAGAGGUGAAAUUCGUAGAUAUUGGGAAGAACACCGGUGGCGAAGGCGGCGACCUGGUCCGAUACUGACGCUGAGGCGCGAAAGCGUGGGGAGCGAACAGG